GAUGAACGCUGGCGGCGUGCUUAACACAUGCAAGUCGAACGGAAAGGCCAGUGCUUGCACUGGUACUCGAGUGGCGAACGGGUGAGUAACACGUGGGUGAUCUGCCCUGCACUUCGGGAUAAGCCUGGGAAACUGGGGCUAAUACCGGAUAGGACAAUGGUUUGGAUGCCGUUGUGGAAAGAUUUUUCGGUGUGGGAUGAGCUCGCGGCCUAUCAGCUUGUUGGUGGGGUAAUGGCCUACCAAGGCGUCGACGGGUAGCCGGCCUGAGAGGGUGUACGGCCACAUUGGGACUGUGAGACGGCCCAGACUCCUACGGGGGGCAGCAGUGGGGAAUAUUGCACAAUGGGCGCAAGCCUGAUGCAGCGACGCCGCGUGGGGGAUGACGGCCUUCGGGUUGUAAACUCCUUUCGCUAGGGACGAAGCGUAUUUGUGACGGUACCUGGAGAAGAAGCACCGGCUAACUACGUG
This 468-nucleotide ribosomal RNA is filed under the name uncultured bacterium. RNAcentral describes it as "partial 16S ribosomal RNA". It matches the Rfam family "Bacterial small subunit ribosomal RNA", at positions 28 to 507 of the family's 1533-position model. The record is from RNAcentral.